RNAcentral lists this ribosomal RNA (249 nucleotides) under uncultured bacterium. Its description in RNAcentral is "partial 16S ribosomal RNA". It matches the Rfam family "Bacterial small subunit ribosomal RNA", at positions 524 to 769 of the family's 1533-position model. The record is from RNAcentral.
UACGUAGGUGGCGAGCGUUACUCGGAAUUACUAGGCGUAAAGCGCGUGUAGGCGGGAGCUUAAGUUUGCUGUUAAAUCUCAUGGCUCAACCAUGAAAUGCCGGCGAAUACUGGGCUUCUUGAAUUCGGUAGAGGUAACUGGAAUUCCAGGUGUAGCGGUGAAAUGCGUAGAUAUCUGGAAGAACGCCAAAGGCGAAGGCAGGUUACUGGGGCCGCAAUUGACGCUGAGACGCGAAAAGCUAGGGGGAGC